Molecule: transfer RNA, 75 nt
Filed under: Candidatus Melainabacteria bacterium HGW-Melainabacteria-1
Lineage: Bacteria; Bacillati; Candidatus Melainabacteria
Description: tRNA-Gln
Rfam family: tRNA
About the family: Transfer RNA (tRNA) molecules are approximately 80 nucleotides in length. Their secondary structure includes four short double-helical elements and three loops (D, anti-codon, and T loops).
Source: RNAcentral
UGGGGUAUCGCCAAGUGGCAAGGCAUCGGAUUUUGAUUCCGACAUUCCUAGGUUCAAAUCCUAGUACCCCAGCUA